UUAGCAACAAACCAGACAAUCACACUCAACAACAAAAAAUAUAGGAGCUCCUGCUGUUGACAAGACUGGUUAAAACAUAAGUCGUUUUUAAAACGGCGCUAACGCACUGAGGACAUAUAAUAUCACCCGAAAGAGAUCUCCGAAUUCAGCGAGAACGGAGGGCUUUUGCCCAGAGUUGAGGUAACGUUAGCUAGCUAGCUAACCGACGAUAACCCGUCUCAAGAGAAAACAGCUUCCCAAGCAUUCCGGAAGAAGGACGAAUCCUGGUCCGAUCGAAGCAAGAAACUCACUAGUUACAUUGCUAACUAAUCAGUCAACGCAAAUAAACUCGAGAUUUUUUUCCUUUGGGAAUGGUUCUCUGUGUGGAUAUAGUAAUCAACCGACAGAGAAAGACGAGGGCCACACGGGUCAGACAGCUAAGCUGUCAUUUUGGGACUCCAACUAUUUUGGACAGCGGGAGUAAUUUAACGUUUGCUCAGUCGGACGUGUGUUUUUGUGGCUGUGCUAACGUUAGCUGACGGAAACGAGAAACGACCCCCAUCGCUGGAACUUUUUCCAGACUGCAGGGCUAGCGAGUUGGCAAAGCCAUGGUUUUUAGGACGAGAGCAAGGUCCGAUUGUGUAGGUAGAGAGUCCUAGCUAGAAUAUUAAAGUUGAGCAAGUGAGCAAAGCUAUAUUAAAACCAACUUAUGUAGCUAUAUUUCAUCCAACGAAGUUGGCUAGCAGGGGAUAUUUUUGGAUCACUUGAACUAGCUACACGAGCACGAAUUGCAAGUGAUACAAGCUGCCCUCUUAAGUAUUUUAUUAUAACUAGCCAAGUGUUGGCAAAUUUUUAUUUUUAUUUUUUAUACGGUUGUUUUUACAAAAGAUUUUUAACUUCCACCUCGGAUGCUGGCUUCAACGUUAAACUGCAAUCAUGAUGGUAUUACAAAGAAAAGCAGAAGACCCCAUAACAGCAGCGCGUCAUGGCGACGGCCUCUAUAACUCCUACAUGAGAACUGACCACCUACUGAAGGAAGAAGCAGACGCACACAGUCCCGCUGGCCUGCCCCCGAU
This 1055-nucleotide long non-coding RNA is filed under the name Salmo salar (Atlantic salmon). Its description in RNAcentral is "lncRNA (ENSSSAG00000087110.1)". Lineage: Eukaryota; Metazoa; Chordata; Actinopteri; Salmoniformes; Salmonidae. The record is from RNAcentral.